AUGAUAACCCGGUCGAAGCUGGUGGAGCAGCUGCGCGACUACCAGAUCCGAUCCCAGCACAAGCGCGACAUUAUCGGAGCUAUCUCAUGGGGCUUGCUGUGCUGUCUCCUAAUAGUAUCCUCAUACAUGAUGCUAUACUUCAGGCACUUCUGGUUAUCAGCCGUCAUCAUCUCCGUCGGCAUUCUUCUCCCCGCCGGCCUGUAUAUUUUGAGGCAGAGGAAGCUGGCUAAGAAAAGAGAGCGGAGAUUAUUGUUGCCUCUCUCCAUGUAA
This 270-nucleotide ribosomal RNA is filed under the name Triticum aestivum (bread wheat). Its description in RNAcentral is "partial small subunit ribosomal RNA". Lineage: Eukaryota; Viridiplantae; Streptophyta; Magnoliopsida; Poales; Poaceae. The record is from RNAcentral.